This is a long non-coding RNA of Scleropages formosus (Asian bonytongue), 230 nucleotides long. RefSeq lists it as uncharacterized. NCBI's taxonomy places the organism in Eukaryota, Metazoa, Chordata, Actinopteri, Osteoglossiformes, Osteoglossidae. The transcript has 3 exons. The record is from RefSeq and is a predicted model, not a curated record.
UGUGGCUGCAGGGAGGAGACCGAGAAAACGCUGUUUUUCUGCACCAGCACUUCUCGUUGUCAAACCCCGACGAACAGUUUCGGUGAUUGUCAACACAAAACAUCUUUGAGGUCUUCGGCGAGUUUAUGUGAAUGACACCAACCCUUUUUCUGAGAGACAGCUUUGGACUGUGGGAGAACACCAGUGUGAUCACAGUCUGGGAACGGACACAUUAGCCCUACCCACCGUGC